Molecule: RNA transcript, 1332 nt
Organism: Symsagittifera roscoffensis
Lineage: Eukaryota; Metazoa; Xenacoelomorpha; Acoela; Convolutidae
Gene name: serine/arginine-rich splicing factor 1A-like
Exons: 6
Source: RefSeq, a predicted model, not a curated record
ACUUAUUAAAUAGAAUAAAAAUGAGUUCAAGGAGUCGACCUGCUCGAAUUUACGUUGGAAAUUUGCCACCCGAUAUUAGAGUUUCUGAUAUUAAGGAGCUCUUCGAUUCUCGUAAAUAUGGAAAAAUAUCGGAUGUAGAUUUGAAGAAUGAAAAGGGACCUCCUUUUGCAUUUGUCGAGUUUGAAAAUCAGGAUGAUGCAGAUUAUGCUGUAGAAAAACGGCACGGAUACGACUAUGACGGUUACAAGCUGCGUGUGGAAUACCCCAAAGGAGCCAGAGAUUCAAGAGAUAGAUUUGGAGGUGGUGGAGGAGGCUUCUCUCGUGACAGAGGUGGAAGAGGAGGCCGGUUCGAGCCGCGAUCAUCGAAAUAUAGGGUGUCUGUUUCUGGCUUGCCCAAAUCUGGAUCGUGGCAAGAUCUGAAAGACCACAUGCGGGAGGCUGGAGAUGUUCUGUUUACAGAUGUAUUCCGAAAUGGUUCGGGUAUAUGCGAAUUUAAAACAUCAGAGGCAAUGCGAUAUGCAAUAGAUAAGCUACACGACUCAAAGUUCACAUCGCACGAAAACGAGACAUCAUACAUAAGUGUAAGAAGCGAUGACAAGGGACGCUCGCGCUCGAGGAGUAGAUCACGACGGAGAUCACGGUCUCGCGACAGGCGUCGUGAUCGAAGUAGGUCGAGAUCAAAAAGUCGAUCACCGAAAAGAGGAAGGAGCCGAUCGAAGAGCGAUAGUCACAGAGCCAGGACUAGGUCCAGAACUGGAUCUCGUUAAGUGUCCGCCCUAACAAACAAACAAUAUAUGAGAGAAAGCUGCCGCAUUGAAUUCUCUCUAGCAAGGAACUGAUCGUACAAGUCCCUUCGAAGGAUCCACGCCUAAGGAUGGAUAAACGCUCGGAUAAUUGAGGAUUCGUCUCUUAAAGGAGCCCCCAAAACAAGGAAAAAAAUAAGAUGAAUCUUUCGAAAAAUGGACAUUUCUUCGCUGUUCUUUGGACGCUAUGGAUUUCUUGUGCUUUAUUGUAGGAUUAAGCGAUAAAUAAUCUGGGAUUUUUGCAGUAAAAUCUGGUCAAUGGACAAUCAAAGGAUUCUUCUUCGUUUAGCAAGGAUUCUUCUAAGGAGUUUCUAGGAUGGAUUCUCUUUUGCUGAUUCUUGAUUUCUAUGAAUGAGUGUGAUAGGACUAGAAGUCGAUUCUGCGGAGCUCAACGGGACGUACUCUUCUACUCAUCUUGUGAAAAAAACUCAACUCUCUGAAAAAACACGGAAAUUUAGCAUCCUCACCUUAACUAUUCUCUUUAAUGAAUUUUGAAGCCUAUCUUGUAUGGUUUUCCUGAUAAAUGCUA